This 275-nucleotide long non-coding RNA is filed under the name Elaeis guineensis (African oil palm). RNAcentral describes it as "long non-coding RNA (EGUI_LNC040476)". Lineage: Eukaryota; Viridiplantae; Streptophyta; Magnoliopsida; Arecales; Arecaceae. The record is from RNAcentral.
GUUUCUAUACUUUAUUAUAAAAUUAUUUGAAUAUUUUAAAUAAUUUAAAUUUAUGGCAAACAUGUUCGUAGGUCCAAUACAUCACUAUGUAUCAAAUUCAGAACAUCAUUGGCUCAUUCACCUUCUUCAGCAAAAGAUGACUUGGUCAUCUUACUAAAGAGAUAGGAUUAAUAAGUUGACAAUGAUUCACAAUCAUUGACUUCAAGAAUUAUCUCCUGUUGAUCCUAUUCUUAUUUAAGGACUGAGCCUAAAUUACUAAAGAUAGACAUUUAUGA